AAAUCGUACCCCAAACCGACACAGGUGGUCAGGUAGAGAAUACCAAGGCGCUUGAGAGAACUCGGGUGAAGGAACUAGGCAAAAUGGUGCCGUAACUUCGGGAGAAGGCACGCUGGUGUGUAGGUGAAGUCCCUGCGGAUGGAGCUGAGACCAGUCGAAGAUACCAGCUGGCUGCAACUGUUUAUUAAAAACACAGCACUGUGCAAACACGAAAGUGGACGUAUACGGUGUGACGCCUGCCCGGUGCCGGAAGGUUAAUUGAUGGGGUUAUCCGUAAGGAGAAGCUCUUGA
This 291-nucleotide ribosomal RNA is filed under the name Klebsiella pneumoniae. Its description in RNAcentral is "partial 23S ribosomal RNA". It matches the Rfam family "Bacterial large subunit ribosomal RNA", at positions 1639 to 1911 of the family's 2925-position model. The record is from RNAcentral. Lineage: Bacteria; Pseudomonadati; Pseudomonadota; Gammaproteobacteria; Enterobacterales; Enterobacteriaceae.